CUUUAUUACAUUUCUAGUGGCGGACGGGUGAGUAACACGUUGGAACCUGCCCCAGAGUGAGGAAUAAGCCACCGAAAGGUGGUCUAAUACUUCAUAAUAUCCAUCUCGUAUGGAUUAAAGCUUUAUGCGCUUUGGGAGGGGCCUGCGUAACAUUAGCUAGUUGGUGAGGUAAAAGCUCACCAAGGCUUCGAUGUUUAACUGGUUUGAGAGGAUGACCAGUCACACUGGGACUGAGAUACGGCCCAGACUCCUACGGGAGGCAGCAGUAAGGAAUCUUCCACAAUGGGGCAACCCUGAUGGAGCAAUACCGCGUGCAGGAUGAAGCGUUUCGGCGUGUAAUCUGCUUUUAUCACCGAAGAUUAUGACUGUAGGUGAAGAAUAAGGACCGGCUAACUACGUG
Molecule: ribosomal RNA, 400 nt
Filed under: uncultured bacterium
Lineage: Bacteria
Description: bacterial SSU rRNA
Rfam family: Bacterial small subunit ribosomal RNA
Source: RNAcentral